CCUACGGGAGGCAGCAGUGAGGAAUAUUGGUCAAUGGACGAGAGCCUGAACCAGCCAAGUAGCGUGAAGGAUGACUGCCCUAAGGGUUGUAAACUUCUUUUAUAUGGGAAUAAAAUGUUCCACGUGUGGGAUUUUGUAUGUACCAUAUGAAUAAGGAUCGGCUAACUCCGUGCCAGCAGCCGCGGUAAUACGGAGGAUCCGAGCGUUAUCCGGAUUUAUUGGGUUUAAAGGGAGCGUAGGUGGUUUGUUAAGUCAGUUGUGAAAGUUUGCGGCUCAACCGUAAAAUUGCAGUUGAUACUGGCAGUCUUGAGUACAGUAGAGGUGGGCGGAAUGCGUGGUGUAGCGGUGAAAUGCUUAGAUAUCACGAAGAACUCCGAUUGCGAAGGCAGCUCACUGGACUGCAACUGACACUGAUGCUCGAAAGUGUGGGUAUCAAACAGGAUUAGAUACCCCAGUAGUC
This 460-nucleotide ribosomal RNA is filed under the name uncultured bacterium. RNAcentral's name for it is "partial 16S ribosomal RNA". It matches the Rfam family "Bacterial small subunit ribosomal RNA", at positions 338 to 795 of the family's 1533-position model. The record is from RNAcentral.